This is a long non-coding RNA of Mus musculus (house mouse), 486 nucleotides long. RefSeq annotates it as RIKEN cDNA C130064B19 gene. The transcript is spliced from 2 exons. The record is from RefSeq and is a predicted model, not a curated record. Lineage: Eukaryota; Metazoa; Chordata; Mammalia; Rodentia; Muridae.
AGAAGAGUCAGUGCUAUUAACUGCUGAGCCAUUUCUCCAGCACCCAAAGACAUAUUUUUGACUCAGGAAGAACUAUGACAAGAGGCUCCAGAGAUUACUAUCGCACCAGAAGGAACAAACCCAGCUAGGCAUGAUUCUGGCAGACGUUUCUGUAAAAACCAGGAUUGGAGAAACUUCUUCAGGACAUGUUUUGUCUCCAGGGUGAUACCGCAAGCCAGAAACAUCGUAAGUAUUCCAAUACAAUGCUUUCUUCUACUCCACCAAAUAAAUUCCAUUUUUGCCAGAAAAGAUGGCGUGUGUACAUUAGUCUCAGACCCAAGAUGGAUGCCUCUGGAGAUUCAUUAGACUCCUGGAUGCCCUAUAUCCAUCAUUCGGCUUCCCAUAAUAUUAGUAUCCACAAAACUAAGACAUUGGACGCUAAUGAUGACGCUCACUGGACUGUCAGGUGUUCUUUUCAUUAAUAAAAGAAGAACUAUUCAGCCCACA